Molecule: non-coding RNA, 63 nt
Filed under: Chloropicon primus
Lineage: Eukaryota; Viridiplantae; Chlorophyta; Chloropicophyceae; Chloropicales; Chloropicaceae
Source: RNAcentral
CGUCGCCGUCGUCGUCGCCAUGUUGUGGUCCCCAUCAGCAUCCUUCUCCUUCCUCUUCCUCCG